GAUGUGUCCCAAUAUUUAUGUCCAUAUAGUUUAUAAACAUCAGUAUUUCCUUAAAGUUUAAUGGGAGAUUUUUCUUCCUCAGUGAGAUGUGAAGAAACUAGAUGGUUAGUUGUGGUAGAAAAUUAUUAUUUACAGUCAGA
Molecule: long non-coding RNA, 140 nt
Organism: Sphaeramia orbicularis (orbiculate cardinalfish)
Lineage: Eukaryota; Metazoa; Chordata; Actinopteri; Kurtiformes; Apogonidae
Exons: 2
Source: RefSeq, a predicted model, not a curated record